RNAcentral lists this unclassified non-coding RNA (3421 nucleotides) under Amphibalanus amphitrite. RNAcentral describes it as "prolyl 4-hydroxylase subunit alpha-1-like, transcript variant X2". The record is from RNAcentral. Lineage: Eukaryota; Metazoa; Arthropoda; Thecostraca; Balanomorpha; Balanidae.
GAACGGAGACAGUCGCGGCGCGGCGGUGCGCUGGGGAGGUGGUGGUGUUCCGCACUAAUAUUUUGUAUUUUUCUCUGUUUCAUGCAGUGAGCUGGGUAAAUAUCGUAUGAGGAACUCAUUAGUAGUGUUUGUCCUCCCUGAAACAAGCGUUUGGUGUUGUCAGCUGCGGCCUGGAGCUUCGAGGGUCAGUGGAAACGUGGUCUGCAAUCGGCACGUGAACGCCACCACACACCAGCCAGAUGCGUGUGUUAGCGUUUAUCGCACCUCUUCUGGCGGCGUCUGUCUGCCAUGGGGAGAUAUUCACAGCUCUGGUGGACAUGGAACACCUGGCGUACACCGAGCGGGAGCUGCUGGGAAUGCUCGACAGGGCCAUCCAGGCGGAGGAACAGAAAAUUCAGACACUGAAAAAGUACAUGGAGCAGUACCAGCGUGUGAACCGGGAGCUGGUGGAUAACCAGGAGGCCUACCUCCAUAACCCUGUCAACGCCUACCUGGUGGUGAAGAGGCUGGCCGCCGACUGGAAAAUAGUCCAGGGAGUCAUCACUGAGAACGUCGGAUCCAAGUUUGUGGAGAACAUCACUCAGGUCUCGGAGUCACUCCGUAUUCCCGACGAUGAGGACCUGAACGGGGCAGCCAUGGCUCUCAUCAGACUCCAGGAUACCUACCGACUCAACACCGCCGACAUUGCGUCCGGUGAGAUUCAGGGCAGCCGUCUGAAGCGUCAGCUCACGGCCGGCGACUGCUUCGAGCUCGGCAGGCAGAGCUACAACAACGCUGACUUCAAACACACUGCGCUCUGGAUGGAGGAGGCCUGGAAGAUCUGGCGCUCCGAGUCGGACGAGCGUACGGCGCCUCUGGGCGACAUCCUCGAGUACCUGGCGUUCAGUACAUACAAGAUGGGGGACGUGGAGGGCGCGCUGAGGCUGACCAACCAGCUACUCGACGAGGAGCCCGGACACCCGCGCGGCGUCGGAAAUAAGGCGUACUACGAGCAGGAGCUGGCCAAGCAGGCGUCCACGGUGCGCCGUCAGAGGAAGGGCGAGACUGGGGAAGAGGAGGAUCUGGACGUCAGCGUCAGAGAGGGCUACACUGUCCCGGAGUCGACCGAGGAGGCCCGUCUUCCCGAGCGUGACAUGUACGAGGCCAUGUGUCGCGGGGAGAUCACCGUGCCGCCCAGCAAAGCCAGGAAACUGAAGUGUUACUACGCGCACAACUCGGCUCCGUUCCUGCUCCUGCAGCCGAUUCGCGCCGAGGACCUGUACCUGAAGCCGCACCUGGUCAUGUACCACGACGUGAUGUACGACUCCGAGAUCGAGGCCAUCAAGCAGCUUGCCUCGCCCAGGCUGGCGCGCGCCACCGUUCAGAACUCGAAGACGGGCCAGCUGGAGACGGCCAGCUACCGUAUCAGCAAGUCGGCCUGGCUCAAACAGGGAGAACACCCGCUGGUCGACCAGGUGAACCGCCGAGUGGCCCAGCUGACGGGCCUGAACCUGGACACCGCUGAGGAGCUGCAGGUGGUCAACUACGGAAUGGGCGGACACUACGAGCCCCACUUCGACUUCGCCAGGAAAGAGGAGACCAACGCUUUCAAGAGCCUGGGAACGGGCAACCGCAUAGCUACGUUCAUCUUUUAUAUGUCGGACGUGGAGGCGGGCGGCGCCACUGUGUUCCCGGAGAUCGGGGCCGCCGUGUGGCCUCGGAAGGGCUCGGCGGCGUUCUGGUACAACCUGCACCGCUCCGGGGAGGGCGACUACGACACGCGGCACGCCGCCUGUCCCGUGCUCAUCGGCAGCAAGUGGGAGCUUAGCGACGCUGGCAAACAUUUUCAUGGAGCUUCCGAGGCCUCUGAGGAGGUCGCCAAUUAACUCUCGAUGAACAACGCGGGGCCCAAGACCGAACCCUGCACAACACCGCUUAUGACGCUUGUGUAUCCAACAAGUGGAUCCACGAAAUUGGCCAGGAGUUUGCUCGUCCGUGCGGCCUAACGCCCGACGAGUGAUUGGGGGCGACAUCUGGCUAUCACUAGUUCAGAGCAUAUCGCCAGGUGUCACUGUCGGCUGUCCGGGGUUUGUAUGGCCGGACAGCCUGCGCCAUACUGAAAAAUCAACAGCCCGGCUAAGAUGAUAGGAAGAGUUUGAUGAUUUAUUUUGACAUAGUGCUGGCGGCCUAACUCAAAGCAUAUUUGACAUUGCAUUUGCCUAUUUGUAGCAGAAUGUAGAGCUGCGUGAAAAAUCACGCACAAAAAUCACUUACGCUCGUGUUAUUUUCGUCAGGGGCCCUUAACUCGAACUUUGUAAUUUGUGAGGCAUAACUUUUGACAAUUAUAUGUCCGCCGACAUAGGCUUAGAAGGCCUUUGCGCCGCUUUAGGAACCCUGUCACUGGUUUUAGGCCUUUGUGUCAGUAUAUUAUGCGCUAGCGGCGGGAAGUGACGAGAUUUGUAUCUGCGAUAUGUUUGUGAACGACCUUUGAGGUGGUUCAGCAGGGAAUACUUCACUGUAGGGGAAUGUGGAUUCUUUGAUCCAGGAUUGUUUUGAUACUAGUCGAUUCGUAAAGAGAUGGCCAUCAUUCGUUUGACUCUCUGCUGAUAACUGUAGCGUUUCUUCUUAAACAGUUAGUACCGCGAAAUACGGUGCGAAGCUUGCCCGAAUGACGCCAUACGAACUACUUUUAACUCGCUUCUGUUUUACUGGUUUGCGUGUUGAGUUAUCUUUCUGUAUUUGUCACAGAAUACCCCAUAGCCAGUAGCCACUUAGGUUGUAAAUAUAGCCUUCGAUUGUGAGCUGCUUAACUUUGCUUUUACUCACUUCAGUUGGCAUUUCUUUUCCUAAAAUAUUCGUUUGACGGGAUUCUCUAAUGUGUUUUCAGACGCUCUUUUGAGUGCACUUUUCCAAUUAGCCCUUACAUUUCAUAGCAAUAAUGGAUAUUGCCUUUUUUAUCAUCCUUCUACUUAAACCGAUUUCUUUCUAUUGUAAGCGGAGUGAUUCUCAUUAAAAACAAUGGUUACCAUUAGCCGCCAUCAUUGUCGUAACAUUUGUGACGUCACAAAUCUGAAAGUGACGUUAUGACAUCGUGUAAAUGUUUUAGGGAUGUGUGACAGGAAAAGAUAAAUCUUGGACAGAUGGUAUUGUGUUGGCUCGAUCAUUGCUUAUGUUAUUCUUCGUUUGCGAAAUGCAAAAGUGUAAUGAUUUGCUUCUGUAUUUGAUAACCGUUUUGGGUGAUUUCCGCCCUUUCGUUGGCGAUUUCUAUUUUGUGUUGGGGUAUUAUGUUCGUAUUUCCGGCUGGUAUUUUGCGCCUAUGUUAUGUGCUGGCUGUUUUAAAUAGGUAGCGCUCUCUGUAUUGGGUUUUGCUGUGUGCUUCUCUGAGCUUGAAUUUCGUGUUUGCCGAGCUGUGGAAUUGUGCGCAAUAAAGAGUCGAAACGGU